Molecule: long non-coding RNA, 642 nt
Organism: Xenopus laevis (African clawed frog)
Lineage: Eukaryota; Metazoa; Chordata; Amphibia; Anura; Pipidae
Exons: 6
Source: RefSeq, a predicted model, not a curated record
CAGCGUGUGUCUCUGCCCUAUUUUAUACAGAUUAAUGAACUUAUUUUCUCUAAAACCCACAGGAAACAAAUAUACCGAGCUCUGAAAAUUCUGCUCCUGUUAUUGAGGAAAGCCUGGAAACAAGGGAACUGGAAGAGAAAGUUUCCCUUGAUUUAGAAGAUAUUGAUUCUGAGAAAAGACUCAAGAGCAUCCAAGCAGUGGAACGUGCAGAGCAAAAGACAUAUUUUAAAGCCCAGUUGGAAAAGGCAAUUCGGGAAAACAAAAUUUUCUGGCUGGAGGAUGAAGAGCCUGUCAUCAAGAAAAGCCUGUUAAAAAGAGGAUGGAUAGAGAAAAUAGCCUAUAAUUAUGAUUCCGGACCAAGGGACAGUACAUUCCAUAAUCUAGAAAAAAUCAGCAAAACGGGGUUGAAGCUUUCUUAUAAUGUAAAGGCAACAUUUAUCUGGACAAGUGACGAGAUUCCCUACUUUGCUGUUCAUGACGAUCAGCUGAUGAAUUCAUAUGACAAUACAGACUGCUUUACAACCAAGAAUGGACUAAAUGAGCAUUUAAAGAAACUACAGAUGAUUAACGGUGUGAAUGCGGACACAUUCUUCCCACGCUGCUAUGACAUGUCAGAACCAAAGGAGGCAAAGUUAUUUUCAG